AUGCAACAUAAUAGGGUCACUAUGCUGUCUUCCUCCGAAACAUGCCACCUUGGUUCCAGUUCCAACAACCAGGCUAUCGAUCAGCAGAACCCUGCUGUUGAUGAGCAUAAUCUACUUCCUGACACCCUAGAGAGUGAGAACUACCCACACUAUGUUCUCAAUAGUCACGAGGUAGGAAUGCCAAGUGGAAGCAUGAUUGGUCAGCAAAAUACAAGCUUGAGUUUGUGGGAUUCACCUGGUUCUAGCUCCGCGGGCUUCCUAGCCGAUCAUGAUAGCCUUUUACAGGCCAAAAGGGAACAUUUUGCACCUGCUUUGUCUAUAGGCGGCCCUUUAAUCAUCGAAGGGAGAAGACGAGAAAGCAGUAGUUCAUUGCCUUCACACAACUUAAACAUUGACCUAAACAUUAAUCAGGCUGAUCAAUUUGAGUCCGGGAAUGUUGAUAUGGUUCAGAGUAAUGGACACUCUGGAAUGAAUACUUAUCCUCCGAAUAGAGGUCUUUUGACCACUGAAAAUGUUCUUCGUCGUGAAAUUUCUCCUGGUGCUAUAAGAAGUUCCUUGCAUUCUGCAAACUUUUUUGAUGGUACAGCAGGCCAAGAAACCGGUGGAAGUUCUUCACAUACCGUGAAUCAUUUUCGGUCAUCUAUCAAGAGAAAGAAUGUUGCUGGAAGUCUCGGAGAGUCUUCUGCCAAUGGGAGUUCACGCAAUCAUCGCCAAAACAAUGAUAUGCUGCUACCUUCGCUGUCCAGUCAUGAAAGUACUGCUAAUUUAAAUAUGACCUCUGUAAACUAUGGUUUUUCAUACCCUCCCAUGGAGCAGUUGGACCAGAAUACUGAUACCUCAGAAGAUGACAUUUUUUCUGACCCUUAUACACUAUCUGGUCAUCUGCAUGAAAGUCAAAGAUUCCUGAGAAAUACCCGGAUGAGAAUAAGCGCCAAUGAGUAUGAGCAAUCACUUACUAAUCUGCUGCCUGAGGAAAGUUUCAGGUGUUCAGCUCAUCAGCCUGCGCGGCAACAGUCUUCUUUUACGCCAGUGCAACCUAGAGGAGCGAGUUCUUCAGCAAGUUCUCAAAAUCGUCCUCAUGUACCUGCUGUUGCUCAAUUCUCGCAAAGUCUGCAGCGACAUCCAUCAAAUGGUAAUUUCGGUUCAAGAGUAGGGAGUUCUGCUGAUACAAUAAAUCCGACACCUGCUUCACAAGAUCCUGGUAGCAGCCUGGCAAGAAGCAAUCUCCCUGAGCCCUUUAUGCUAGGUCCGUCGUUGUUUACUACUGAUUCAACAAACUUGCUAUCUGCACCCGGAAGCAGAAGUAACCAGCAAAAUCCCAGCUCCAGCUCUACACUUCGAGCUGCUGCAAAUGUAGGACCCCAACAGGUUCCUGGGUUGAAUUCAUCUCAGCCAAGUUCAGCCGCAAGAGGUUCAGCUGAUGUACCCAGGAGAGCCUCACUUGCUGCUAGUGUGUCUCAUUCCAGAAGUCCAAGCAUUGCAUUGCAGCACCGUGGGCAUUCAUCUUCAUCACACGAGAUUCGGAACCAUCAACCAGGAUCAAGCGCUCGUGCAAGUCUGCAACACUACUCCAGGGCAGUUCCUCCCUCUAUUGAUAGGCAAAACCCAGGUUACUUGGACCUUCAGUCUUUUAUGCAGAGCAUAGCUGCUUCAAGAGAAGGAAGCAGGACGGUCUCAGAGCUUCGUAAUGUGGUUGAACAAAUUCGUCAGGGGAGAAGUGCUGCUAGACUGGAGGAUUUUCUUGUUGAUCGUCAACUUAUCAGGAGAGCCAGUUUGGUCGAUAGGCAUCGUGAAAUGCGGCUUGAUGUGGAUAACAUGUCGUAUGAGGAACUGUUGGCACUUGGUGAACGUAUUGGGCAUGUGAGUACUGGACUCAGUGAGGAGAAAAUAAUGAGUGGCUUGAAGCAGUGGAAGUAUCUCCACAUACCAUUGGAGGAACCUGCAACAGUUAUUGAACCAUGCUGUAUUUGCCAGGAAGACUACGCAGACGGCGAGGACAUGGGCAGGGUGGAGUGCGGGCACUACUUCCACACGGCGUGCAUCAAACAGUGGCUGGUGAUCAAGAACACUUGCCCCAUCUGUAAAAAGGCAGCGCUGGGCACCUAA
Molecule: ribosomal RNA, 2106 nt
Filed under: Triticum aestivum (bread wheat)
Lineage: Eukaryota; Viridiplantae; Streptophyta; Magnoliopsida; Poales; Poaceae
Description: partial small subunit ribosomal RNA
Source: RNAcentral